This 484-nucleotide ribosomal RNA is filed under the name uncultured bacterium. RNAcentral describes it as "partial 16S ribosomal RNA". It matches the Rfam family "Bacterial small subunit ribosomal RNA", at positions 30 to 507 of the family's 1533-position model. The record is from RNAcentral.
AUUGAACGCUGGCGGCAGGCCUAACACAUGCAAGUCGAGCGGAUGAAGGGAGCUUGCUCCUGGAUUCAGCGGCGGACGGGUGAGUAAUGCCUAGGAAUCUGCCUGGUCGUGGGGGAUAACGUCCGGAAACGGGCGCUAAUACCGCAUACGUCCUGAUGGAGAAAGUGGGGGAUCUUCGGACCUCACGCUAUCAGAUGAGCCUAGGUCGGAUUAGCUAGUUGGUGGGGUAAAGGCCUACCAAGGCGACGAUCCGUAACUGGUCUGAGAGGAUGAUCAGUCACACUGGAACUGAGACACGGUCCAGACUCCUACGGGAGGCAGCAGUGGGGAAUAUUAGGCAAUGGGCGAAAGCCUGAUCCAGCCAUGCCGCGUGUGUGAAGAAGGUCUUCGGAUUGUAAAGCACUUUAAGUUGGGAGGAAGGGAAGUAAGUUAAUACCUUGCUAUUUUGACGUUACCAACAGAAUAAGCACCGGCUAACUUCGUG